GUUAACAUCUUGUAACAAGCUUGAUGAUAUUACCAGACUUGUUGCAAGGUUGUUCCAACAAGUCCGAUACAGUCAUGAUAUAUAUAACAAUAUUGUUACAACCUUGUAUUGUCAACCUUGUAACAUUCUUGUUAUAUCAUGCCUGUAUCAGACUUGUUAGAACAACCUUAUAAUAAGUGUGAUAAUGCCAUCAAGCUUGUUACAAGUUGUUAAC
This is a non-coding RNA of Paramuricea clavata, 214 nucleotides long. Lineage: Eukaryota; Metazoa; Cnidaria; Anthozoa; Malacalcyonacea; Plexauridae. The record is from the annotation of a GenBank genome assembly.